GGGUUGUGAGGUUAAGCGACUAAGCGUACACGGUGGAUGCCCUGGCAGUCAGAGGCGAUGAAGGACGUGCUAAUCUGCGAUAAGCGUCGGUAAGGUGAUAUGAACCGUUAUAACCGGCGAUUUCCGAAUGGGGAAACCCAGUGUGUUUCGACACACUAUCAUUAACUGAAUCCAUAGGUUAAUGAGGCGAACCGGGGGAACUGAAACAUCUAAGUACCCCGAGGAAAAGAAAUCAACCGAGAUUCCCCCAGUAGCGGCGAGCGAACGGGGAGCAGCCCAGAGCCUGAAUCAGUGUGUGUGUUAGUGGAAGCGUCUGGAAAGGCGCGCGAUACAGGGUGACAGCCCCGUACACAAAAAUGCACAUGCUGUGAGCUCGAUGAGUAGGGCGGGACACGUGGUAUCCUGUCUGAAUAUGGGGGGACCAUCCUCCAAGGCUAAAUACUCCUGACUGACCGAUAGUGAACCAGUACCGUGAGGGAAAGGCGAAAAGAACCCCGGCGAGGGGAGUGAAAAAGAACCUGAAACCGUGUACGUACAAGCAGUGGGAGCACGCUUAGGCGUGUGACUGCGUACCUUUUGUAUAAUGGGUCAGCGACUUAUAUUCUGUAGCAAGGUUAACCGAAUAGGGGAGCCGAAGGGAAACCGAGUCUUAACUGGGCGUUAAGUUGCAGGGUAUAGACCCGAAACCCGGUGAUCUAGCCAUGGGCAGGUUGAAGGUUGGGUAACACUAACUGGAGGACCGAACCGACUAAUGUUGAAAAAUUAGCGGAUGACUUGUGGCUGGGGGUGAAAGGCCAAUCAAACCGGGAGAUAGCUGGUUCUCCCCGAAAGCUAUUUAGGUAGCGCCUCGUGAAUUCAUCUCCGGGGGUAGAGCACUGUUUCGGCAAGGGGGUCAUCCCGACUUACCAACCCGAUGCAAACUGCGAAUACCGGAGAAUGUUAUCACGGGAGACACACGGCGGGUGCUAACGUCCGUCGUGAAGAGGGAAACAACCCAGACCGCCAGCUAAGGUCCCAAAGUCAUGGUUAAGUGGGAAACGAUGUGGGAAGGCCCAGACAGCCAGGAUGUUGGCUUAGAAGCAGCCAUCAUUUAAAGAAAGCGUAAUAGCUCACUGGUCGAGUCGGCCUGCGCGGAAGAUGUAACGGGGCUAAACCAUGCACCGAAGCUGCGGCAGCGACGCUGAUGCGUUGUUGGGUAGGGGAGCGUUCUGUAAGCCUGCGAAGGUGUGCUGUGAGGCAUGCUGGAGGUAUCAGAAGUGCGAAUGCUGACAUAAGUAACGAUAAAGCGGGUGAAAAGCCCGCUCGCCGGAAGACCAAGGGUUCCUGUCCAACGUUAAUCGGGGCAGGGUGAGUCGACCCCUAAGGCGAGGCCGAAAGGCGUAGUCGAUGGGAAACAGGUUAAUAUUCCUGUACUUGGUGUUACUGCGAAGGGGGGACGGAGAAGGCUAUGUUGGCCGGGCGACGGUUGUCCCGGUUUAAGCGUGUAGGCUGGUUUUCCAGGCAAAUCCGGAAAAUCAAGGCUGAGGCGUGAUGACGAGGCACUACGGUGCUGAAGCAACAAAUGCCCUGCUUCCAGGAAAAGCCUCUAAGCAUCAGGUAACAUCAAAUCGUACCCCAAACCGACACAGGUGGUCAGGUAGAGAAUACCAAGGCGCUUGAGAGAACUCGGGUGAAGGAACUAGGCAAAAUGGUGCCGUAACUUCGGGAGAAGGCACGCUGAUAUGUAGGUGAAGUCCCUUGCGGAUGGAGCUGAAAUCAGUCGAAGAUACCAGCUGGCUGCAACUGUUUAUUAAAAACACAGCACUGUGCAAACACGAAAGUGGACGUAUACGGUGUGACGCCUGCCCGGUGCCGGAAGGUUAAUUGAUGGGGUUAGCGCAAGCGAAGCUCUUGAUCGAAGCCCCGGUAAACGGCGGCCGUAACUAUAACGGUCCUAAGGUAGCGAAAUUCCUUGUCGGGUAAGUUCCGACCUGCACGAAUGGCGUAAUGAUGGCCAGGCUGUCUCCACCCGAGACUCAGUGAAAUUGAACUCGCUGUGAAGAUGCAGUGUACCCGCGGCAAGACGGAAAGACCCCGUGAACCUUUACUAUAGCUUGACACUGAACAUUGAGCCUUGAUGUGUAGGAUAGGUGGGAGGCUUUGAAGUGUGGACGCCAGUCUGCAUGGAGCCGACCUUGAAAUACCACCCUUUAAUGUUUGAUGUUCUAACGUUGACCCGUGAUCCGGGUUGCGGACAGUGUCUGGUGGGUAGUUUGACUGGGGCGGUCUCCUCCUAAAGAGUAACGGAGGAGCACGAAGGUUGGCUAAUCCUGGUCGGACAUCAGGAGGUUAGUGCAAUGGCAUAAGCCAGCUUGACUGCGAGCGUGACGGCGCGAGCAGGUGCGAAAGCAGGUCAUAGUGAUCCGGUGGUUCUGAAUGGAAGGGCCAUCGCUCAACGGAUAAAAGGUACUCCGGGGAUAACAGGCUGAUACCGCCCAAGAGUUCAUAUCGACGGCGGUGUUUGGCACCUCGAUGUCGGCUCAUCACAUCCUGGGGCUGAAGUAGGUCCCAAGGGUAUGGCUGUUCGCCAUUUAAAGUGGUACGCGAGCUGGGUUUAGAACGUCGUGAGACAGUUCGGUCCCUAUCUGCCGUGGGCGCUGGAGAACUGAGGGGGGCUGCUCCUAGUACGAGAGGACCGGAGUGGACGCAUCACUGGUGUUCGGGUUGUCAUGCCAAUGGCACUGCCCGGUAGCUAAAUGCGGAAGAGAUAAGUGCUGAAAGCAUCUAAGCACGAAACUUGCCCCGAGAUGAGUUCUCCCUGACUCCUUGAGAGUCCUGAAGGAACGUUGAAGACGACGACGUUGAUAGGCCGGGUGUGUAAGCGCAGCGAUGCGUUGAGCUAACCGGUACUAAUGAACCGUGAGGCUUAACCUUACAACGCCGAAGCUGUU
Molecule: ribosomal RNA, 2930 nt
Filed under: Escherichia coli
Lineage: Bacteria; Pseudomonadati; Pseudomonadota; Gammaproteobacteria; Enterobacterales; Enterobacteriaceae
Description: 23S ribosomal RNA
Rfam family: Bacterial large subunit ribosomal RNA
Source: RNAcentral